Molecule: ribosomal RNA, 301 nt
Filed under: Mycobacterium tuberculosis
Lineage: Bacteria; Bacillati; Actinomycetota; Actinomycetes; Mycobacteriales; Mycobacteriaceae
Description: partial 23S ribosomal RNA
Rfam family: Bacterial large subunit ribosomal RNA
Source: RNAcentral
UACCUGCAGGAAGAGAAAGAAAAAUCGAUUCCCUGAGUAGCGGCGAGCGAAACGGGAGGAGCCCAAACCAACGAGCUUGCUUGUUGGGGUUGUAGGACUAGAACGUGAGAAGACAUCAAGAUAGCAGAAGUGGUCUGGAAAGGCCCAUCACAGAAGGUGACAAUCCUGUACGCGACAUCUUGACGAACUCUACUAGCAUCCUGAGUACGGCGGGACACGAGGAAUCCCGUCGGAAUCCGCCAGGACCAUCUGGCAAGGCUAAAUACUACCUAGUGACCGAUAGUGAACCAGUACCGUGAGG